This 246-nucleotide ribosomal RNA is filed under the name uncultured bacterium. RNAcentral's name for it is "partial 16S ribosomal RNA". It matches the Rfam family "Bacterial small subunit ribosomal RNA", at positions 87 to 334 of the family's 1533-position model. The record is from RNAcentral.
UAUGGCGACCGGCGCACGGGUGAGUAACACGUAUCCAACCUACCGAUGACUCGGGGAUAGCCUUUCGAAAGAAAGAUUAAUACCCGAUGGCAUAGUUCUUCCGCAUGGUAGAACUAUUAAAGAAUUUCGGUCAUCGAUGGGGAUGCGUUCCAUUAGGUUGUUGGCGGGGUAACGGCCCACCAAGCCUUCGAUGGAUAGGGGUUCUGAGAGGAAGGUCCCCCACAUUGGAACUGAGACACGGUCCAA